RNAcentral lists this ribosomal RNA (466 nucleotides) under uncultured bacterium. RNAcentral's name for it is "bacterial SSU rRNA". It matches the Rfam family "Bacterial small subunit ribosomal RNA", at positions 330 to 792 of the family's 1533-position model. The record is from RNAcentral.
GCCAGACUCCUACGGGAGGCAGCGGUGAGGAAUAUUGGUCAAUGGGCGCGAGCCUGAACCAGCCAAGUCGCGUGAGGGAUGACGGUCCUACGGAUUGUAAACCUCUUUUGCCGGGGAGCAAGCGUGCGUUCGUGAACGCGCGUCGAGAGUACCCGGAGAAAAAGCAUCGGCUAACUCCGUGCCAGCAGCCGCGGUAAUACGGGGGAUGCGAGCGUUAUCCGGAUUUAUUGGGUUUAAAGGGUGCGUAGGCGGCGCUUCAGGUCAGCGGUGAAAUACCGGGGCUCAACCCCGGGGCUGCCGUUGAAACCGGAGCGCUAGAAUUCCGAUGCCGUCGGAGGAAUGUGUGGUGUAGCGGUGAAAUGCAUAGAUAUCACACAGAACACCGAUUGCGAAGGCAUCUGACGAAUCGGAGAUUGACGCUGAUGCACGAAAGCGUGGGUAUCGAACAGGAUUAGAUACCCUCGUA